This 87-nucleotide transfer RNA is filed under the name Anditalea andensis. RNAcentral's name for it is "Cytophagaceae bacterium ANESC-S tRNA". It matches the Rfam family "tRNA". From Rfam's summary of the family: Transfer RNA (tRNA) molecules are approximately 80 nucleotides in length. Their secondary structure includes four short double-helical elements and three loops (D, anti-codon, and T loops). Further hydrogen bonds mediate the characteristic L-shaped molecular structure. tRNAs have two regions of fundamental functional importance: the anti-codon, which is responsible for specific mRNA codon recognition, and the 3' end, to which the tRNAs corresponding amino acid is attached (by aminoacyl-tRNA synthetases). tRNAs cope with the degeneracy of the genetic code in two manners: having more than one tRNA (with a specific anti-codon) for a particular amino acid; and 'wobble' base-pairing, i.e. permitting non-standard base-pairing at the 3rd anti-codon position. Lineage: Bacteria; Pseudomonadati; Bacteroidota; Cytophagia; Cytophagales; Cytophagaceae. The record is from Rfam by way of RNAcentral.
AGAGAGGUGUCCGAGUGGUUGAAGGAGCACGCCUGGAAAGCGUGUAUACCCGUAAGGGUAUCGAGGGUUCGAAUCCCUUCCUCUCUG